GUGGGAACGUGCCUUUAGGUUCGGAAUAGCUCCUGGAAACGGGUGGUAAUGCCGAAUGUGCCCUUCGGGGGAAAGAUUUAUCGCCUUUAGAGCGGCCCGCGUCUGAUUAGCUAGUUGGUGAGGUAACGGCUCACCAAGGCGACGAUCAGUAGCUGGUCUGAGAGGAUGACCAGCCACACUGGGACUGAGACACGGCCCAGACUCCUACGGGAGGCAGCAGUGGGGAAUCUUGCGCAAUGGGCGAAAGCCUGACGCAGCCAUGCCGCGUGAAUGAUGAAGGUCUUAGGAUUGUAAAAUUCUUUCACCGGGGACGAUAAUGACGGUACCCGGAGAAGAAGCCCCGGCUAACUUCGUGCCAGCAGCCGCGGUAAUACGAAGGGGGCUAGCGUUGCUCGGAAUUACUGGGCGUAAAGGGCGCGUAGGCGGAUCGUUAAGUCAGAGGUGAAAUCCCAGGGCUCAACCCUGGAACUGCCUUUGAUACUGGCGAUCUUGAGUAUGAGAGAGGUAUGUGGAACUCCGAGUGUAGAGGUGAAAUUCGUAGAUAUUCGGAAGAACACCAGUGGCGAAGGCGACAUACUGGCU
This 582-nucleotide ribosomal RNA is filed under the name bacterium HPC300. RNAcentral describes it as "bacterial SSU rRNA". It matches the Rfam family "Bacterial small subunit ribosomal RNA", at positions 117 to 734 of the family's 1533-position model. The record is from RNAcentral.